GCUGUCCUAGAACUCACUUUGUAGACUUGGAAAUCCGCCUGCCUCUGCCUCCCUGGUGCUGGGAUUAAAGGCAAGGCCUCUUUUUAGUAUGGGCGGUAUUGGCUCACUCAAAACAGUAAAAUCAGGGUUAAAAUUAGAGCUGAAAGUCUCAGUGACUGAUCUAGAUAAUCAUAUCAGGAGGCAGUCAGUGUGUUAGAUAAGUACUUUGAAGAAUAGUAGUAAACCAGGUAGUGUUUUAUUAGCUCCUUUCAUCUUACAACAUUUGUGAGGUAAAUUGUCAGUAACUUUUUUGUAGAUGAGACCAAAGUUCAGAACUAUAAAGGUAAUUAGGGAAGGAAUGUGCUUGUGAACAUGGGCACUAAUCAGUUGUGUCCAUGAAUGUGAGCACUUGUACUGUUGGGCCUUUAGUUGGGGUUCUUUAAAUGAUCACAACUGAUACAGUAAACUUUUAUAUAUUAAAAAGGAGAUUUAUUAGACUGGCUUACCAGAUGUGGUCUGGAUACUCUAGCAAUGGCUGUGUCAUACUAGAAAGGUCAAGGAUCUGGUAGUUAAGUCUAUGAGGCUGGAUGCUCUUAGAGUCCUGGAGGAUUCCCAGAGAGAAGGUCUUCAGUCUAUUGAAAUACUAAUAACUAAUACUAAAAAAAAUACUGUGAAGCCAGGCAGUGUUGGCGCACACCUUUGAUCCUAGCACUUGGGAAGCAGAGGCAGGUAGAUUUCCGAGUUCAAGGCCAGCCUGGUCUACAGAGUGAGUUCUGAAGUAGUUUCGUUGACCCCCACUUUCAAGUUUUGGAGUGUCUAUGGAGUGUCUAACUACUGUAGACCUAUGAUGCAGGAGUGGUCCGUCUUUUAUUAGGUUAGUUAAACUCUUUGAGUUUACACUCUGGAGGUGGGGUGGGGUCGUACUUUUUCAGAAAGUUCUGAAGAGAAGGGAUACCAGCCAGAACUGAUGAAAACUCUGUCAAUUGGCAAUUGGAGUUCCAGAUAACACAGCCGCAUUGUUCUCCUAUCCCUUGUCAAAGUUUAGUAUAUGUGCUGUCCAAGCAAGUACUGGUGGUGGUUUAAGUGAAUGUAGCCUACCAUAGACUCAUAUUUAAAUGCUUGGUUCCUAGUUGGUGUAACUGUUUGGGAAUGAUUAGCAUUAGACAUCCCUUGUUUGGAAGAUGUGUGUCACCAUUGGUGGGAAAGCCCACACCAUUCCUAGUUAGAUAAGAUGUAAGCUUUCAGUUACUUUUCCAAUUACCCACCUGCCUACUGCUAUGCACCCUACUGUGAUGGUCAUGGGCUGGCCAUCUGAAACUAUAAGCAAGUCCCCAGGUAAAUGAAUAUUUUUUUUUGUAAGUUGCCUUGGUUAUGGUAUCUUAUCACAGCAGCAGAAAAGUAACCAAGGCUGCAAUGACUUCUGUACUGACUAAGGGGCUGGAGUGAUACCCAGACCAGCUUGGCUACAAAGGUGCUGGUACAUCUGGGGACCUUGAGAAUAAUGGGCACACAGUACCAUCUCUGAACUGGUAGUACAACCUGUGACUUCUGGCUGCACCAUGGCAUGAAUGUGCCUUUCAGGCACCUGUCUGUGGUCUUUGAGCACAAGCUGCUGUUAACUAUUAGGUCAGAGGGUGUUUGUGGUAAAUAAGCAAGACCAAGGUUGGGAGCCAGUAGAAGGCACUGGCAGAAGACGUGGACUGCCUCUGUGUUCUUGCAGCUGGAACUGGGCUUGUGCUCACUGCCUUCUCACCCCAUUCCAAGGCACAAAGGCUUAGGAAUGUCAGCACUAAAGGAAACUGUGGCAAGGGGAUCCCCUUCUUUCUCCUCUCCUGCAUAAUCAACACCAGUCCAGCCUUUCAGAAAAUAAGUAACUAAGACAAACUCCUUCCUUAAUUUAUUACAUUCAUUUUUUCCAUUUUUAAAAUUUAUAUUAGGAAAAUAACAAAAGCUUAUGCAAAAAGAAAGAAUAAUUCACACCCAUCGCCUAGCUUCAGUAGUUUAAGAAGUCUUGGUUUGUUGUUUAUUCUCAAAACAGGGUUUCCUACUACAUAUUUUGGCUGUCCUGGACCCUGCUAUGUAGAUAAGGCUGGUCUUGAACUCAGAAAUCCUCCUGCCUCUGCCUCCCAAGUGAGAUAUCUUAGAGGGAUUACUAUAUGGAGAAACUAAGUUGUAGGGUAAUACAUGAAAGGUGUGGAAGAGAAAAAGGAAAGUAGAUUCCAAAUAUUUUGAAUUUCUGGAAAAAUACACAAGCUAGUACUAUUGGCUGCUUUGCAGGAAUUGAAGAUCUAGAUGUCUAAGGAAUUAUAGGGGGAGAACUUCUGUUUUUCUCUUCUGUGAUUAUAUGAACUACAUGUAUUAUCUAUUAUUCAGCAGGAUCCAGUGAUUGUAUGCAAGGAAAAAAACAUACAAUCAGAAAAAGGGAGAGAAGACUUGUGUUAGAUUUUAAUUGGACCUGCCAUUGUGAGCUGAUUUCUUCUUUUUUAAUAAAAAUUUCCCGAGGAGGCGGAAAACCAUUGGAACUUGAUCAUUGUGCUUGACUCUAGGACCAGAUACUGCUUCAGUAUCCAUUUCUGAAGUAUUUAGAUAUAAUUCAUAAUGUUUUAAUGACCAAGAAGUUAUUAUUAUUAUUUUUUUAAAGAUUUAUUUAUUUACUAUAUGUAAGUACACUGUAGUUGUCUUCAGACACACCAAAAGAGGGCAUUACGGAUGGUUGUGAGCUACCAUAUGGUUGCUGGGAUUUGAACUCAGGACCUUUGGAAGAGCAAUUAGUGCUCUUAACCGCUGAGCCAUCUCACUGGCCCCAACCAAGAAAUUAUAUGUGAACACAACUGUUACUUAAAAAUGAAGACAGGGUUAUACUUUGCUUUGUCUUAAAUUUGACUGGAGAUGGAGAGGUAGUUAAAUUUUCUUUGCAAUUCUUAAAAAUGUAUUUAUUUUUAUGUCUAUGAGUACUAUAUCUGCAUGUACACCUGCAUGUCAGAAGGAGGCGUCAUCACAUAAAUAGUUGUGAGCCACCCUGUGGUUGCUGGGAAUUAAACUCACACCUCUGGAAAAUCAGCCAGUGCUUUUAACCGCUGAGUCAUCUGUCCAGCCAUCCUUCAUAAUUCUUAAAAUCUGAUUACACUGUUUAUGGUUUAGAAAUAAUGAAAGUUUAGAUACUGAAAUUCAUAGUUUUAUUACUUACCAGUUUCAUUUUAAGGUAGUUAAGAAAGCUUUAAUAUUCUAAAGUAUCUACCAAAGUUGUGUUAUUUGGGGUAUAGAUGAGGUUAAUAUAUACAGUUGAUUGUUACAGUUAACAUCUGAUUACGGAACUGGAGACUUUUAGUUGAAAAAACAUUAAAGAACUGCUCUUAGGGGCUGGAGAGAUGACUGCAUUUAAGAAGUUACUCUUCCUGGGUUGGCUUUCCAGCACUGGAACCAGGAGACUCACAGCCUAUUCCAGGGGUUCUGGCACCCUCUUCUGAAGGUUCUAAUACAUACCACACACACCAUAAAUAAAAAAUACUUCUUUAAAAGACUUGUUUAUUUUAUGUAUAUGAAUACACUGUAGCUGUACAGAUGGUUGUGAGAUUUUCUGUCAGUAGUGUGUUUCUUAAUGAAUUUUAGUCAAGUGACAGAAACUGGAAAAUGUUUGAACAUUUGUUUUGUUUAUUUUCAAGGUUCCUCUUCAGGUACCUGCUUAGUUAAUUCUGUAUGAAGUAAGUGUAAGUUCUAUAGUUAGCAGUGUAUCUUGUUUUCUUUGUCCUUGUUUGUUUGUUUGUUUUCUUUUCAAUUUUAUGUAUGUGAGUACACUGUAGCUGUCUUCAGACCCACCAGAAGAAGGCUUUGGAUCCCAUUACAGACAGUUGUGAGCCACCAUGUGGUUGCUGGGAAUUGAACUCAGGACCUCUGGAAGAGCAGUCAGUGCUCUUAACCACUGAGCCAUCUCUCCAGCCCUAGCAUAUCUUGUUAACUAAAUAGUAAUCACUUCUGAAUGAAGCUAGGAUAAAUUUAUUUUGAUGAGUGCUGUAGACUAUCACUUCUGAAUGCAAGUGGAUUACUUCAGUAAGACUGUUAUUGUUAUUUUUCUAGUUCUUUUUCUAAGACAUGGGAGCAAAAAAAUAAAAGGAAACAAUAACUAAUGUACAUUUGCUUCAGGGCUGUUUCUUGGCAGACUCGUUUUUAGUUUGUAGCUUCUGUGGUGUUGUGUUCCUGUUACUCCCUCCCGUCUUGUUUUUCUGAGUGUUUUCUGAUGCUUGCACCCUUCCUCCCUUCUUGUCAUUUUGAUCUAGAAUAGUGGUUCUCGGUCUGUGUCUGUGUUACCCUGCAUAUCAGGUAUUUACAUUACAAUUCAAACAGGAAAUCACAAUCAUGGAGUAGCAAAGAAAUAAUUUUAUGGUUGGGGUAAGCACAGCAUGAGGAAGUGUAGUAAAGAGUUGAAGUGUUAGGAAACUACACUACACAAUAAUUACUACUACUACUAAUAGGAAAACCUUUGUUUGUUUCUUGUUUUUUGUUUUGUUUUGUUUUUUUUGUUUUUUUGUUUUUUUGUUUUUUGAGACAGGGUUUCUCUGUGUAGCCCUGGCUGUCCUGGAACUCACUCUGUAGACCAGGCUGGCCUCGAAUUUAGAAAUCUGCCUGCUUCUGCCUCCCAAGUGCUGGGAUUAAAGGCGUGCACCACCACUGCCCAGCUGGAAAACUUAACUAUACAUGCUAAAUUAUUUACUUCUUCCCUUCUGAGUUCUUACUAGUACUCUUAUCCAGAGAUUUUUUUUUUUUCCUUCAAGGAGCCAGUUGGCGGCCUCCCCAAGCCCCACCUAUAUGAAGUUGUUAAAAAUAAUUAAGAAGUUACUACAAGCUAAAUUAUACAACCAGGUUGAUUAUUGUUGUCUUUACUCAGGCUGGUCUUGAACUCAUAUUUGAGCCCUGGGAUUAAAGGCGUGAGAUACUGCCACCUGGCAAAGCUGUAUAUCAUAAGAAAUUAUAGCCUAUCUAUUUUGUAUUAGUAGCUAGUAUCUAGUAUUGAUAAUUUGAUAUAGCCCUGAUCAUUUUUGUACGGAAUGAAACAAAAUCCUUGAAUAUCUUUGAAUUUGAUUUAAAGUAUUUGACUCUACUACUGAUAGUGUAUGGGAAGUACCCUUUGUUUCCUUCUCAGAAAGCUAGUAGGGUCAACAGAGAACCAUGACCCUGGCUGAAAUAGAAGUAACAUAUGUCAAUUUGUAAAAGCCCAGCAUUGUAAACUGCAUGUAAUGGCAGUGUGAAAAAGAAUUGUCAAAGUUGAUAGAUUUUAUAAAAGAAAAGUUAGUUUUUUUUAUUGGCUGUGUGGUAACUAAUGGCAGCAGGUGGUUGAUUGAUAGUUCCUGGAAUAUUGGAAAGCAAGUAUGCCUCAAGGUGUUUGUAAUAAUAGUCCUGGCAACAGAGCCAUGAGUAUUGUCCAUAUUUGACACAAGUAAUUCAGAAAGGACUGUUAGAAUGGAAAUUUCUUUCUUCUCGGCUCUUUACCUCAAGUCCUUACUCAGUGGAAAUCAAAUUUAUCUUAGCCUCUUCUACCACAAUUGUAUCGCAAAAUAAAAGCAACAAAAGCAGGGGCUUCAAAACCCACCCUCUCCCUCUGUCUCUUGUCUUCCUGUCACAGGGUCUCUAUGUAGCCCUGUCUGGCCUGAGAUUGGGUGCUGGGAUUAAAGGCAUGCUCCACCAUGCCUUUAGCUUAGACUAAUUUAAGUUAUUUGCAUGCCUAUGACUGCAAGUAGUAUGGUCACCAGAACUGGCACCUUUUCAGAGAUCCUUUGGGUACCUUACUGACUCUCUUGGGAAAACAAAGGGAGAAGCUUUGCAUGGAAGUCCCUUAGUAGCUGGGCAGGUAUUUAUCUCAGAUACACUGCUUCUGUUUUUAAAAUAGCAUGAUAUCCUAAGGUUAUAGGGAGUUUCUUUGAUUCACUUUAAGUAGCUACUAAUAUUGUACUGGUGGGGGCUGGAGAAAUGGCUCAGCAGUUAAGAACAUCUGCUCUUCCAGAGGACCCAGAUUUACUUUAUACCCAUAUGACAGCUCAUGGCUGUCUGUAACUCCAGUUCCAGGGGAUCUGCUACCCACCACUGCACAUAAAUCAUUAAAAGUAUUGGUGAAGAUGACCUCAAGUUAUUUAUUUGUUUAUUUGGUUUUUCGAGACAGCGUUUCACUGUAUAGCUCUGGUUGUCCUGGAACUCACUUUGUAGACCAGGCUAGCUUCAAACUCAGAAAUCCGCCUGCCUCUGCCUCCUGAGUGCUGGGAUUAAAGGCAUGCACCACUGCCCAGCUUGAGCUCAAGUUCUUAAAAUCUGGUCUUUGGACACCAUUUUUCAGUUCCAUGUGUGGUGUACAGAAAUAGCACUUAUUUUUAGUCUGGUCUUUAUAGAGUUUGGGAAUGACCUUUGGUGAACGCUUUGCUAUAUUCCUGACUCAGCAACUUUCUAACUUGAACAUAGUUUUCAUGCUUGCCACUUCCAUAAAAUAAAACUUUUGACAUUAUAUUAUAUAAUUUUGUGGCUUUUGAUUUUAUUAGAUUUAUCCCCAGCCCAGGUUUUUGAAGAUAGUUUAAGAAUGUAAUGUUGCCAGGCGUGGUGGCGCACGCCUUUGAUCCCAGCAGAGGCAGAGUGGAUUUCUGAGUUCGAGGCCAGCCUGGUCUACAAAGUGAGUUCCAGGACAGCCAGGGCUAUACAGAGAAACCCUGUCUCAAAAAACCAAAAAAAAAAAAAAAAAAAAAAAGAAUGUAACGUUAAUUUUGUUUUUCUUUUUAAAGAUUUAUUUUAUGUAUUUGAGUGUUUUACCUGCAUAAGUGCACCAUAUGCAUGGCUAGUACCACAAAAUGUCAGAAGAGGGCAACAGACCCCUGGGUUAGAUAGUUAUAAAACACCAUGUAAGUGCUAGGAAUUGAAUCCAGAUUGUCUGUAUAAACAAGUGGCUCUUAACCACUGAGCCAUCUCUACAUCCUCAUAAAUUUUUUAAAUUUAAAUAAUUUCGGUCCUUUUUUUUUCCUCAUUUCUAUCAAUCUGACACAGUGGUUGCAUUUUGUUGGGCAAUUUUCAUUAGAUCUUUUCCCCACAUGUUAUUUGAGAUCUGGUAAAUAGAUCUUUUUCUUCAAUAUUAGAUUUAUUUGAAUUUAACAGUCUUAUUCUGGGUUACUUUCCAGACUUCCCAGAUUGUAUCAUAGUUGGCACUUUAUUUAUAGCUUGUUCACAGAUAGUUUAAGAAUUCAAACAUGAACUUCUGUUUGUUCAGCUCCUCAAAAUGAACUGAGGCAGAGGAGUUAGUUACUGUUUUCUGAGUUCUUAGCAUGUGACACUAUUCUAGGCUUUGACUUCUUUUGAUUGGUUUUAUUCCCAGAGAAUGCUUAUUAUGAAGGUGUUGAGACUAUAAUAUUUUUAUAAGAAGUAAAUUUUUAAUUCUUUUAUAUCAAAUACAAUUUUUUUAAAGCAUAAAAUAAACACUUCUGUUUAGGUCACUAGUUUAAGUGCAGAUACCAUUGUAUGAAAUGGGAGAUAAGACAAAUGUGGUGACAUACAUCUGUAUAUAAUCCCUUGGGGGGCUAGAACAUGAGGAACAAGUAAAUAAACAAUAUAACCACAUUUUAAAAUAAUUAGGCUCAUCGGAAGACAGUUGUGUAGCUCAGUAGAAUAGCUCCUGUCUACAGAACACAUGCAACAUUGUGUACCAGUUUGGUCCGCAGCAGCACUUUAAUACAGCUAUUCAAUUUAGAUCCAGUUGAUGUAAACGAUGUAAAAGUCACACUCUGAUUGCUGUACACAUGUCUUAAGUCUAGUCUGCAGAUCCUGUGCUUAAUCUUUCUUUAGAUGGACACUUGUCUGCCAAGGAUACUUAGGAGAAAUGCCAUUCUAAGCCAUAAUGAUUUAUCUGUGCUGUCCAUAUGGUUAUCCCUCAUACUUGAUGCCUUAAACAUUUUGUGUUUUUGCCUAAAAAUAACCCCAUAUCUUAGUGCAUUCUUGUCCCCUCUUCCCUGUAUUUUAAGCUGAGGGGGAAUGUCUUACUGUGUUGUAUAGGCUCUAUAAAGGCUGGUCUCAAACUUUUGGGAUCUGGUGACUAGCCUCUUAAGAACUGGGACUACAGAUAUGCCCAGGUUAACUCACAUAUUCCUUUCCUUAAAAAAGGGGGAUCCCAGCACUUGGGAGGCAGAGGCAGGCAGAUUUCUGAGUUCGAGACCAGCCUGGUCUACAAAGUGAGUUCAGGUACAGCCAGGGCUAUACAGAGAAACCCUGUCUCGGAAAAAAACAAUAAUAAUAAUAAUAAAGGGGGAAGGUGUAAUGUUCAUUUAAUUUUAUUAUGCCAUCUUCAUAUUUGCAUACCAUGUGUUUUGAUGAUAUUCACCAGUCCAUACCACCUUCACUUGUCUCCUUCCAUUCGUCCUCUUCUUCUAAUUGUCCCCCCUUUAAAAAAAAAAAAAAACCUUAAUUAUUUGUAUAUAGAGCUUUGUGCAUGCGAGUGAAGGUGCUCAAGUCCAGAGACAUUAAAUUUCCCUGGAGGUAGAGUUAGUUCUAAACUGCCUGAUGUGGGUGGGUGCCGGCACCUGAUCUCUAGUCCUAUGUGAAAGCAUUGUGUGUGUUCUUAACUGCUGGGCCAUCAGCAUCCCUGCAAGUGCACCCCACACUCUCCCACAACCGCAUGAUUUUUGUUUUGUUUGAUGAUCCAGUGAGCUUCAUUGGGGUUGCUUGAAUGCCUUACCAGUAUCUACUCCUCUGAAGAAAGUAUCUCUCCCCUUAGUAGCUAUUAACUAUCUACAGAUCCUUGGGAAUUGGGGCUUUAUGAGUCUCUCCCCCAAUUGUUAAUUGUUUAUAAAUAAGAAAGGGAUAAGACCCCAUAAGUCCCUUCCCCUAUCCAUAACAAGAUAUUGAUGGUAUCUUAUCUUAUACAAGAUCUUAUACAGGUGAAACCAGCAUUUCACAACACCACCACCCUAUCCUCUGGCUUCUACCUUCUUCAUACCGCCAUCUGUCAUAUUCCCUGAGCUUUGGAGUGAGUGAUGUAAAUAUUGUUUAUAGAUGAACAUUUAACUCACUUAUUCUCAGUACUUUGACCAGUUUUGAUUCUGUACCCCUGGUGAUAGCAGUAAUACUGUAUGAAAAUAAAAGUAAUUAUUUGGAAGGCAGUUUGACAGGUACAUCAUGUCCUUUUAUCAGAACAGCUAUAGCUUCCUCACUAGGUCCUGUGACUUCACCAGCUAUAGGAUAUGGACCAGGUUUAUAGCACCAGAUAAAUGACUCCCCUACUGUGGAGCUAGACUUAAUUCUUUGGUUACUCCUGUAGUAGAUGUAACACUAGAGCGGCAGUGGGGACUCUUGCCCUGCUGUCCAGUGGCAUAGCAGGCAGGGAGCAUCCUUGAGUAAUACUGGUGGAUGACAGUUUUCUCUUCAGUCAGCAUAGCCCUUUUAACACUGAAAACCAGACAGGUGCAAAUAUUUCCAGCCCAGCUCUAUGUGUGCUACCUGGGUUCUGUUGCCUUGAUAAAACACCAAUUAAAAAUUUCCUUUGGGGGUGGGGUGGGGGUACUGGAGAGAUGGCUCAGCAGUUAAGAGUACUGACUGCUCUGAGUUCAAAUCCCAGCAACCAAACCACAUGAUGGCUCACAACCAUCCCUAAUGAGAUCUGACGUCCUCUUGUGUGUCUGAAGAUAGCUACAAUGUACUUAUAUAUAACAAAUAAAAUAAAUCUUUAAAAAAGAAAAACAACAACAACUUUCUGUGGGGAGGAAAAGGUUUCCUUCUGCUUAAAACUCCCAGAUCACACUCCAUCAGGGCCGGAACUCAGGGAAUGAACUCAGAGGCAGGAAGUGGAGCAGAGACCAUAGAGGGACACUGAUAAUUGGCUUACUUUUCAUAAUUUGCUCUAUUUGAUUUUUUAAUAUAACCCCUCACUACCUGGCUAGGGUUGGUACUGCCCCUAGUGAGCCAGGCCCUACCACAUCAAUCAUUAAGAUUGCCCCACAGGCAUUCAUAGAGUACAAAUUAUUGGAGGCGUUUUCUCAUUUGAGGUUCCUCUUCCCUGUUGUCCCAAAAAAAAAAAAAAAAAAAAAAAAACAAAACUGACUGGAGCAUUUACUAUCUCUAGCAGUAGGGUCUUACUCUCUAGUGCUGAGGGUAUCCAAUUCCAGUAACAGCAGUGAUAGAAUAGUGGUUUGAAAGCUCUAUGAGUAGGGAGGUGCCUCAUCCAUCUCUGGUUCUGGAUGGAGUUUUUAGGUAAUAACCUAUGGGUUUUUGGGGAGCAGCUUUAUCCACUCAUACAAGGUGCCUCUUCAGGUUUCUUCAUAUCACUUUGAGCUUGACCCUCUUCUACCUGCUUCCUUCCUCUAUCUCCCUGCCUGUCCUCAGAUCACCUUCCCCUGCCACCUUUCCUAACCUAGAGGCUAUCUCAGGGCCAGGUUUUUAAGAUUUAUUUUAUUAUGUACGUGAGUACUCUGUCGCUUUCUUCAGACAAAGCAGAAGAGGGCAUCAUCAGAUCCUAUCACAGAUGGUUGUGAAUCGCCAUGUAGUUGCUGGGAAUUGAACUCAGGACCUCUGGACGAGCAGUCAGUGUUUGUUCUUAACCACUGAGCCAUCUCUCCAGCCCCUCCCCCCCCUUAAAAGCUAACUUUUAUAGCAUCUCAUUCAUUCAUCUUUCAAAACGUGAGGGUGCAUAGUUCAUGAUGUGCUUACCUUAAGACUGAGCACUUCUUGAGGGCAGCAUGAACCUUAUUUCAGGCUUUUUAAUGUGUUUACGCAAACACAGGUUUAUGGCACCGAACUAAGCAGGUAUCAGUUAAUAUUGGGUAAA
This is an RNA transcript of Mus musculus (house mouse), 10759 nucleotides long. It is a transcript of the gene named RIKEN cDNA F630048H11 gene, with no coding region annotated. NCBI's taxonomy places the organism in Eukaryota, Metazoa, Chordata, Mammalia, Rodentia, Muridae. The record is from RefSeq and is a predicted model, not a curated record. The transcript has a single exon.